RNAcentral lists this ribosomal RNA (446 nucleotides) under uncultured bacterium. RNAcentral describes it as "partial 16S ribosomal RNA". It matches the Rfam family "Bacterial small subunit ribosomal RNA", at positions 338 to 795 of the family's 1533-position model. The record is from RNAcentral.
CCUACGGGUGGCAGCAGUCGAGAAUCAUUCACAAUGGGGGAAACCCUGAUGGUGCGACGCCGCGUGGGGGAAUGAAGGUCUUCGGAUUGUAAACCCCUGUCAUGUGGGAGCAAAUUAAAAAGAUAGUACCACAAGAGGAAGAGACGGCUAACUCUGUGCCAGCAGCCGCGGUAAUACAGAGGUCUCAAGCGUUGUUCAGAAUCACUGGGCGUAAAGCGUGCGUAGGCUGUUUCGUAAGUCGUGUGUGAAAGGCCCGGGCUCAACCCGCGGACGGCACAUGAUACUGCGAGACUAGAGUAAUGGAGGGGGAACCGGAAUUCUCGGUGUAGCAGUGAAAUGCGUAGAUAUCGAGAGGAACACUCGUGGCGAAGGCGGGUUCCUGGACAUUAACUGACGCUGAGGCACGAAGGCCAGGGGAGCGAAAGGGAUUAGAUACCCUUGUAGUC